UACAGAGGUCUCGAGCGUUGUUCGGAUUCAUUGGGCGUAAAGGGUGCGUAGGUGGCGCUGUAAGUCGGGUGUGAAAUCCUGAGGCUUAACCUCAGAACUGCAUUCGAUACUGCGGCGCUUGAGGACUGGAGAGGAGACUGGAAUUCAUGGUGUAGCAGUGAAAUGCGUAGAGAUCAUGAGGAAGACCAGUGGCGAAGGCAGCGACCUGGGUAGAUACUGACGCUGAGGUGCGAAAGCGUGGGGAGCAAACAGG
This 253-nucleotide ribosomal RNA is filed under the name uncultured bacterium. Its description in RNAcentral is "partial 16S ribosomal RNA". It matches the Rfam family "Bacterial small subunit ribosomal RNA", at positions 524 to 776 of the family's 1533-position model. The record is from RNAcentral.